AAAGAUCACUAAAAAAAAUUAUCUUAUAUAAACAAUCACUCAUUACACAAUCAAACCUUAAAUUUAGAGUAAAACAGGAGAGAAAAAACAGAGUAUUUUUUUAUGUACAUGACAUACGAAAAGUUAAUAAAAAAAUUAUACAAAAAUUAGAAAUUAUACCAUUUAUAAGUAGAAUUGAGUUCAUAUGGUUUAAUAAAAGUUAUCAUAAAUAAUACUACGACAUAAAUUAUUAUUAUUUACAAAUAUUUUAUAAAUUACUAAAAUUUAACUUUCUCCCAAAUAUAGAAAUUGAAUUUGUAAUUUAAUAUAAAAAGAAAAGUAAGGUAGCAAUAAUAUAUAAAGAACUACUAUAUUCAUUUAUUAAUUUACACAAAAACCAUCAACUAUAAUCUUUCCAAAGCCCCUAGAAAAAAAAAUAUGAAGAAGGAAGAAAAAAGAGAGAUAGAGAAAAUACAAACAUUAAUCCAAGUCUGCAAAUCUCCCAACACUUUGUAUAUUCAUAUAUAUUAUAUAUAUAUAUGGAUCUGAAAAUUAAUGGAAGCUUUAUUUCAAUGGCCAACACCAGGGCUUGGAACAUCACCAUACAUUCUAUAAGGAUCAUUGUCCUUCGAAUCAUCAUCCAAUGAACCAUCUCCUAUUUCUUCAUGUUCUUGAGCUCUGCCAAGUGCCACGCGGUGGCACGGCAAACGACAGGCAGAGCUGCAAACUCCGACACCAAAAACGAAGAAGAUGACAAGGGCAAGCAGAAGAAGGUUUUUGAUUCUAAUCAUCUUAAUGAUCUUAGAAUGACCCAUUUGGAGGUUUUUUGGCUAUGAAGAAUGAGAAGGAUCAGAAGGAGAAAAAAGGGCUUGUGUUUUUGUUUUUGUUUCUGGGAGAGAGAUGAUAUAAUGAGGAGGCUGAAUAUGGAGGAUGGGUAAAGUGGUUUUAUAGAGGAGCAUCAUGAUGAAGGAUGAAGGAGGGUGUAUUUAUUAGGAUCUUAAAAGGUUAGGGGCCUUGUGGGUCAUUCAUUCCAUUCCAUGAUCAAUAUGUUUGUUCUUUUGUAAAGUGGAUUUAAUACCAUGUAUAUGAAAGUUUUGACAAUUUUGAAAUGUUUAAACUUUUUGCCCUCUCCC
RNAcentral lists this long non-coding RNA (1112 nucleotides) under Cucumis sativus (cucumber). RNAcentral's name for it is "long non-coding RNA (CSAT_LNC001826)". Lineage: Eukaryota; Viridiplantae; Streptophyta; Magnoliopsida; Cucurbitales; Cucurbitaceae. The record is from RNAcentral.